GGCCUAGAACGUUUAGUGAUGUAACACAUUGAGUUAGUACUUGUGAGACUUGUGCUAUAUGUAAGAGGGAACAUUGUGCGUAUCCAGGGUUGUUACAGCCUCCACCUAUUCCUACUCAAGCAUGGCAGCAGGUGUCUAGAUUUUAUUGAAGGCCUGCCUAAGUCAAAGGGGCAUUAUACUAUUUUGGUGGUUGUGUGUAGAUUCAGGUUU
RNAcentral lists this unclassified non-coding RNA (210 nucleotides) under Hevea brasiliensis (rubber tree). The record is from RNAcentral. Lineage: Eukaryota; Viridiplantae; Streptophyta; Magnoliopsida; Malpighiales; Euphorbiaceae.